This 253-nucleotide ribosomal RNA is filed under the name uncultured bacterium. RNAcentral's name for it is "partial 16S ribosomal RNA". It matches the Rfam family "Bacterial small subunit ribosomal RNA", at positions 524 to 776 of the family's 1533-position model. The record is from RNAcentral.
UACAGAGGUCCCAAGCGUUGUUCGGAUUCACUGGGCGUAAAGGGUGCGUAGGUGGUCGGGUAAGUCUGAUGUGAAAUCUCCGAGCUUAACUCGGAAACUGCAUCGGAUACUAUUCGGCUCGAGGGUUGGAGGGGGGACUGGAAUGCUUGGUGUAGCAGUGAAAUGCGUAGAUAUCAGGAGGAACACCGGUGGCGAAGGCGGGUCUCUGGGCAACAACUGACGCUGAGGAGCGAAAGCGUGGGGAGCGAACAGG